CGGUAAUUCCAGCUCCAAUAGCGUAUACUAAAGUUGUUGCAGUUAAAAAGCUCGUAGUUGGAUUUCUGCGGGGACGGAGCGGCCGGUCGCAACUUGCGACUCGAGCUAGCGCUUUCCCCGCAUCCUGCCGCGAACCGUGCUACCAUUAGUUUGGUGGCGCUGGGGAUCGGCUCGAUUACUUUGAGAAAAAUAGAGUGUUCAAAGCAGGCCACACGCCUUGAAUAAGUUAGCAUGGAAUAAUGACUAAGGACUUUGGUUCUUUUCGUUGGUGUUCGGGACUGAAGUAAUGAUUGAUAGGGACAGUUGGGGCGGUCCGUAUUCCAAAGCGAGAGGUGAAAUUCUUAGACCUUCGGAAGACGAACAGCUGCGAAAGCGUUCUGCAAGGAUGUUCCCUUUGAUCAAGAACGAAAGUUGGGGGAUCGAAGACGAUCAGAUACCGUCGUAGUCUCAACUAUAAACUAUACCAGCUAGGGAUCGGCCAACGUUUAAUUAUUCGACUUGGUCGGCACCUUAUGAGAAAUCAAAGCAUCUGGGUUCCGGGGGGAGUAUGGUCGCAAGGCUGAAACUUAAAGGAAUUGACGGAAGGGCACCACCAGCCGUGGAGCCUGUGGCUUAAUUUGACUCAACACGGGAAAACUUACCAGGUCCGGACAUAGUAAGGAUUGACAGAUUGAUAGCUCUUUCUUGAUUCUGUGGGUGGUGGUGCAUGGCCGUUUUUAGUCGGUGGAUGUGAUCUGUCUGCUUAAUUGCGUUAACGGACGAGACCCCAGCCUGCUAAAUAGCGCGGCCGAGCUUUGCUCGGUGCGAGCUUCUUAGAGGGACCAUGAUGCGCGAUAGCACAAGGAAGUUUGGGGCAACAACAGGUCUGUGAUGCCCUUAGAUGUUCUGGGCCGCACACGGGCUACACUGGCGCCUGCAACGAGCAUAUCAGCUGGCCCGAGAGGGUCUUGGCUAAUCUUUGGAACCGGCGCCGUGCUUGGGAUUGACCAUUGCAAUUGUUGGUCAUGCAACGAGGAAUGCCUUGUAAACGCGAGUCAUCAGCUCGCAUUGAAUACGUCCCUGCCCUUUGUACACACCGCCCGUCGCUCCUACCGAUGAAUGUUCCGAUGAAAUUUUCGGAGAGCGCCGGAGAACGGGGCUCCGCCCUGCAGAACUGGAGGCUCAAAGUCACUUAAAUCUGAACAUUUCGAGGAAGGAGAAGUCGUAACAAGGUAACC
RNAcentral lists this ribosomal RNA (1217 nucleotides) under uncultured Rhizaria. RNAcentral's name for it is "SSU rRNA". It matches the Rfam family "Eukaryotic small subunit ribosomal RNA", at positions 577 to 1804 of the family's 1831-position model. The record is from RNAcentral.